AUACCGCGACGUCCUACGGGAGAAAGCAGGGGACCUUCGGGCCUUGCGCUAUCAGAUGAGCCUAGGUCGGAUUAGCUAGUUGGUGAGGUAAUGGCUCACCAAGGCGACGAUCCGUAACUGGUCUGAGAGGAUGAUCAGUCCCACUGGAACUGAGACACGGUCCAGACUCCUACGGGAGGCAGCAGUGGGGAAUAUUGGACAAUGGGCGAAAGCCUGAUCCAGCCAUGCCGCGUGUGUGAAGAAGGUCUUCGGAUUGUAAAGCACUUUAAGUUGGGAGGAAGGGCAUUAACCUAAUACGUUAGUGUUUUGACGUUACCGACAGAAUAAGCACCGGCUAACUUCGUGCCAGCAGCCGCGGUAAUACGAAGGGUGCAAGCGUUAAUCGGAAUUACUGGGCGUAAAGCGCGCGUAGGUGGUUCGUUAAGUUGGAUGUGAAAGCCCCGGGCUCAACCUGGGAACUGCAUCCAAAACUGGCGAGCUAGAGUACGGUAGAGGGUGGUGGAAUUUCCUGUGUAGCGGUGAAAUGCGUAGAUAUAGGAAGGAACACCAGUGGCGAAGGCGACCACCUGGACUGAUACUGACACUGAGGUGCGAAAGCGUGGGGAGCAAACAGGAUUAGAUACCCUGGUAGUCCACGCCGUANACGAUGUCAACUAGCCGUUGGGUUCCUUGAGAACUUAGUGGCGCAGCUAACGCAUUAGGUUGACCGCCUGGGGGAGUACGGCCGCAAGGAUUAAAACUCAAAUGAAUUG
RNAcentral lists this ribosomal RNA (752 nucleotides) under bacterium. Its description in RNAcentral is "bacterial SSU rRNA". It matches the Rfam family "Bacterial small subunit ribosomal RNA", at positions 166 to 912 of the family's 1533-position model. The record is from RNAcentral.